Molecule: long non-coding RNA, 1179 nt
Filed under: Junco hyemalis (dark-eyed junco)
Lineage: Eukaryota; Metazoa; Chordata; Aves; Passeriformes; Passerellidae
Description: lncRNA (ENSJHYG00000006150.1)
Source: RNAcentral
AUGCCAAAAUCCCUGAGACACCCCCGGGCUCCCAAUUCCUACUCAGAAACAUCUGGGAAUUCCCUCAGUGUCUCCUUCCCGUCCCAAAACAUCCAGGAAUUCCUUCAGUGCUCCAUUCCCAUCCCAAGAAAAAUGGGAAUUUGCUCAGUGCUCACAUCUCACCCCAGAAAGAACAGGACUUCCCUCAAUGUUUCAUUGCUAUACCCCAAAAAACCAGGAAUUCCCUCAGUGUCCCCUUCCCAUCCUAUAAAACCCAGGAAUCCCCUCAGUGCUCCCUCCUCAUCCCAAAUAAACCGGGAAUUCCCUCAGGGUUCACUCCUCAUCCCAAAGCAUCCAGGAAUUCACUCAGUGACCCCUUCCUAUCCUAGAAAACCCAGCAAUUCCCUCAGUGUUCCAUUCCCACCCCAAAACAUCCAGAAUUUCCCUCAGAGUUCACUCCUCAUCCCAAAAUAUCCAUUAAUUAUCUCAGUGUUUCACUCCCAUCCCAAAAAUGCCGGGAAUCCCCUCAGAGUUCGAUACUCAUCCCAAAUAAACCAUGAAUCCCUUCAGCGUCCUCUUCCCACCCCAAAACUUCCAGGAUUUCCCUCAGCGUUCACUCCUCACCUCCAAACAUCCGUGAAUCCCCUCAGUGUCUCACUCCCAUCAAAACACAUCCGUGAAUCCCCUCAGUGUUCACUCCCCAUCCCAAAAAUCCCCUCAGUGCUCCCUUCACACCCCAAAACACCCAAGAAUUCCCUCAGUGUCCCAUUCCUAUCCCAAAAAUCCCCUCAGUGUCCCGUUCCCAACCCGAGCUCCCGAUGUCUCCCCUCAGGCCCCGGUGUCCCCUCAAAUUCCCGUAUCCCCCUCAUGUCCCGGUGUCCCCCCAAACUCCGGGUGUCCCCUCAGGUCCCGGUGUCCCCCGGUGUCCCCUCAUGCCCCGGUGUCCCCUCCGUGCUCCCCGCGCUCCCCUCAGGCGCCGCCGCGCUCCCAGCUCCGAGCGCUCCAACGUCACCGUUCCCCACACCCGCCCCAAACCGCGGCAAUUCCGCAAAACCGCACCGGGAACGCUCCAAACCCGCCCGGGACAGGCCGCAGGGCCGUGCCCGCAGAGUCCCCUCCGCCCCGGGCCGCCCUCAGCGCGUCCUCCCCUCACGGAGCGGGCGGGGGCGGCCCCGCGGGGCGGGAGCGGCCUGGGCCUAA